GCGGCGCGCCUAAUGCAUGCAAGUCGAGCGACGCAUACCCAGUCCGUAAGGACAGGGUAUGACGGAGCGGCGAACGGGUGAGUAACACGUGAACAACCUGCCCCACAGACCGGGAUAGCCCAGGGAAACCUGGAUUAAUACCGGAUAUCCUCAUAGGACCGCAUGGUCUCUUGAGGAAAUGCCUUUGUGCUGUGGGAUGGGUUCGCGACUUAUCAGCUUGUUGGUGGGGUAACGGCCUACCAAGGCUUCGACGAGUAGCUGGUCUGAGAGGACGAUCAGCCACACUGGAACUGAGACACGGUCCAGACUCCUACGGGAGGCAGCAGCAGGGAAUCUUGUCCAAUGGGCGAAAGCCUGAGACAGCGACGCCGCGUGGGGGAUGAAGGCCUUCGGGUUGUAAACCCCUUUCAGGAGGGAAGAAAUUGACGGUACCUCCACAAGAAGGACCGGCCAACUACGUGCCAGCAGCCGCGGUAAU
This 478-nucleotide ribosomal RNA is filed under the name uncultured bacterium. RNAcentral describes it as "bacterial SSU rRNA". It matches the Rfam family "Bacterial small subunit ribosomal RNA", at positions 39 to 524 of the family's 1533-position model. The record is from RNAcentral.